RNAcentral lists this long non-coding RNA (2525 nucleotides) under Homo sapiens (human). RNAcentral describes it as "HSALNT0356571". The record is from RNAcentral. Lineage: Eukaryota; Metazoa; Chordata; Mammalia; Primates; Hominidae.
GCAUAACAAAGGUAAAAGACACGAAAAGAUCAAACUAUAAACAUGCUAACCACAUGCCAGAACAAAGCUCAAGAAUGUUUUUAGAAAUCCCAAAAUUAUGCAGGACCUAAAAAGGUAAAAUUCAGAAUGUAUGGCAUUCAAAAACAAAUUAUCAGAAAUUCAAGAAGCAGGAAGAUACAGUCAAAACUGACUGUAAAAUUAUGUAACAUGGGAGUCAAUUUUCAUGAUCUUGGAUCAAAUAGUUUCUUAGAUAUGACACCAAAGCAUAUGCAAUAAAAGAAAAAAAUAGACAAAUUUAACUUAAAACCUUUACGCUUCAAGACACCAUCAAGAAGGUGAAAAGACAAGUCUGAGAAAAUAUUUCCUAAUCAUGUCAGAUAAAGGACUGAUACCAGACUUUAACUCUUACAACUCAAUACAAAGGUCAAUAAUCCAGUUGAAAUGGGGGCAAAAGAUCAGAAUAGACAUUUCACUGAAGAAGUUACAUAAAUGGCCAAUAAGCACAUGAAAGAAAGCUCAACAUUAGUCAUUAGAGAAAUGCAAAUCAAAACUGCAGGGUACCACCAUACACUAGGAUGGCUAUACUAAAAAAGACGGAAGUGUUGGCUAAUAUGUGAAGGAACUGGAAUCUUUACAUAUUGCCGGAGAGAAUGUAAAAUGUAUUCAGUGUGGGAAUGUUUGGCAGUUCCUUGGAGUGUUAAAACAGAUUGACCAUAUGUUAUGAACUGAACGCUUCCUGUCAAAAUUCAUAUGUGGAAGCCCUAAAGCCAGUGUGGCUGUUAUCUAGAGAUGGACCUCUAGGGAAAUAAUUAAACCAUCAUAAGGCUGGAGACUUGAUCUGCCUAAGUGCUAGAAUUACAGGCUUGAGCCACUGUGCCCAGCCUAAUUUUUACUUUUUUUUUAAGCAGAGACAAGUUUUCACCAUGUUGGCCAGGUUGGUCUUGAACUCCUGAUCUCAGGUGAUCCAUCCGCCUCGGCCUCCCAAAGUGCUGGGAUUAUAGGCGUGAGCCACUAUGCCUGGCCUCCUGUUUAAGCUACCUAGUAUGUGUUAUUUUCUUAGGGCAGCCCAAGCCAACUAUAUGACUCCAAAAUUCUACCCCCCACAAGAAAUAAAACCCAACAGAAAGAUACGUAAAGACUUGUACUCAAAUUUUCAUAGCAUUAUUAUUUAAAAAGGAGAAGCAACCCAGAUGUCCAUCAGCUGGUGAGUGGAUAAAUAAAAUGUUGUAUGCCUGUACAAUUGAAUAUUGGUUGGCAAUAAAAAGGUAUGAAAUACUGAUAUAUGCCACAGUAUAGAUGUACCUUGAAAAGAUAAUGCGAAAUAAAAGCCAGGCACAAAAUAGCACAUGGUGUAUAAUUUCUUUUUUUUCUUUUUGAGACAGAGUCUCGCUCUGUCGCCCACACUGGAGUGCAGUGGUGUGAUCUCACUGCAAGCUCUGCCUCCUGGGUUCACGCCAUUCUGCCUCCGCUGCCCUAAUAGCUGGGACUACAGGCGCCCGCCACCACACCUGGCUAAUUUUUUGUGUUUUUAGUAGAGACGGGGUUUCACCGUGUUAGCCAGGAUGGUCUCGAUCUCUCUGACCUCAUGAUCCACCUGCCUUGGCCUCCCAAAGUGCUGGGAUUACAGGCGCGAGCCACUGUGCCUGGCCAUAUGAGUUCUCUUAUAUGAAGUGUCCAGAAAACACAAAUCUAUAGAGACAAACCAUAGAUUAGUUGCGGCCUAAGGCCGGGAAUAGUAAUGGGGAGUGACUGGAAAUAGACAUAAAGUUUCUUUUUUGGGUAACAAAAAAUGUUCCAAAAUUAGAUAGUGGGGAUGAUUGUACAAUUCUGUUAUACUAACAGUCGUGGAAUUGUUCACCUAUAAUGGAUGAAUUUAUGGUGUAUCAAUUAUACUUCAAUAAAGCUUAAAAAAUAAUUUUGUAUUGUGGAGUUUAUAAAGUUAAUAACAGAGAAUGUAUGACAAUAACAGCACAGACUGGGAGAAGAGGAAUGGAAAUAUACUGCUGGAACAUUCCUAUACCAUAUUUGGAGUAAUAUAUCAUUUAUCUUUUCACUCUGAUAUGUUAAAGAUGUAUACGGUCAGUCCUCUGUAUCCACAGGUUCCACAUCUGUAGAUUUGACUGACCACAGAUCAAACAUAUUUGGAAAAAAGCAAAAAUUAAAAUACAAAAAACACAAAAAUUGAUACAGUAUAACAACUAGUUACCAAGCAUUUACACUGUAUUAGGUAUAAGUAAUCCAGAGAUGAUUUUAAGUAUAUGGGAGGAUAUGUGUAGGUUAUAUGCAAAUGUAACACCAUUUAAUAUGACUUGAGCAUCUGCAGAUUUUGGUACUCUUGGGGGGGUCCUGGAACCAAUCCCCCAAGGAUACUAAGGGAUGACUGCAUUAUAAGCCACUAAAAUAAGAAAUCAGUGAGUUACACAGCCAAUAACCCAACAAGAGAUUAAACAGAAUCAGUCAGUAAUUACUUGACCUGAAAGAAGGCCAAAAAAGAAUAAAGAACAAAUGGAACAAAUAGCAAGAGG